RNAcentral lists this transfer RNA (76 nucleotides) under Nitrosomonas europaea. RNAcentral describes it as "tRNA_Thr_CGT". It matches the Rfam family "tRNA". Rfam says of the family: Transfer RNA (tRNA) molecules are approximately 80 nucleotides in length. Lineage: Bacteria; Pseudomonadati; Pseudomonadota; Betaproteobacteria; Nitrosomonadales; Nitrosomonadaceae. RNAcentral also lists the same sequence under 11 other names. The record is from RNAcentral.
GCCGCAGUAACUCAGUUGGUAGAGUAGCUGAUUCGUAAUCAGCAAGUCGGAGGUUCGACUCCUCUCUGCGGCACCA